Molecule: non-coding RNA, 3194 nt
Organism: Delphinapterus leucas (beluga whale)
Lineage: Eukaryota; Metazoa; Chordata; Mammalia; Artiodactyla; Monodontidae
Source: RefSeq, a predicted model, not a curated record
GGACCUGCCAGCACGUUCCCAGAACCCUGGCGUCCACCCCCACCCUAACGCAGUCCCGGCACCACCGCCUGCCUCCCCCACCGGCGGUGCCCCGGGACCCAGGCGUGCGGAGCACCGGCCCCACACCUCUUUUUUCCGGAGCCUGCCAGUCCUGUGCCCGGGUCUUGGCUCUCACGGAACCCCGACAUAGCCGGCCAUCCCCACCCGGCUCUGACCGCACAGACAGGCAAUCUCGGCACAAAGAGGAGACAGCCCAAGGGAAGUGCUUUUGAAGAAAGGAUAGGACUGAAGAGGAGUUAACAAGGGAAUCUCAAGCAGGACAACGUGAACAAAGUUGCAACGGCCUCCUUCAGAGCUGGGGAAGAGGAUUCAUGCUGCGUCUCGGCGGCUUUCACGGUUCUAGUUCCCUCUCCUGGACUUCCCCUGUCAUUUGUCUCCAAGCCCCGCCCCCGCUCCCUCUGCUCCGGCUCCACCUUCCUACCCCAGAGCUCAUCCUCGGUCCCUCCCGCUCACCAGGACCACCAGACUCCGAGAUUCCUCCAAGAAGUGGCCGAAGGGAGGUAAAGCGCACGAACUCCACUCCAGUGCCAAAGGCCAGGAUGAAAGAGGCGAGGGCAGCAGGGACAAGGAGCAGUGCAGGGGCCAUGGCGAGAAAUGGAGGGGUGGGGAAAGGGGCGGGUUUGGGAUUCCCGCGGCCGCAGGCUCCGCCCCGACCCCGCCUCCCGCCUGGGACCCUGCCCAGGAGGGCGGGGCUCCCGCGCGCCGACGCCCAGGCUUCCGGCCGGCGCGCGCGGCUCUCUCGCACAGAGCUUCAGGGCUGAUCCCUAAGUGCCUUUCCCCGGUCUGCGAUCUCCGCGUCACAGAAGGGAAUGUUAGAAUCCCAAGUGAGAGGUGAGAAGGGCAGCGGUUGUUCAGUCAUGCACGUGGUUUGAAUCGCAGCUGGGCUAGUUUUCGCAUCUAAAAUGAAGACAGUUCCUCUCUUGCAGGGUUCUUGCAGAAACGGCAUUAUGAUCCCACCUUCCUUUAACAGCUUUGACUAGAAAACAGCCAGAGUCAAGAGGUUACAAAGCCUCAGCUAACACUUAUAAUGAACGGUGAGAGAACGGAAGACUGUUGACCCAGGCUGAGAACCCAAAGCUCUGAAUCAUCCAUUACAGCUUGUUAGAUGAAAAAGAGUGACUAUUUUACCACAAACGCUCAGUCUGUAAUUUAUUAUAAAGCUGAUUUGUUGCCUCUCCACUUGCUAAGGGGAGAGAACUUGUCUGUAACACUGAAAGAUUUGUUCUAUUAAUGCCAAAGGCUGUUACUUUGUAAACAUGAGAGUAACAACAUGUUAAAAUAUUUGUGAUAGAAAACUUUAUUACAGUUGUAAACUUUGUAGUAUGUUAAUUUUAUCCAAGCUUGUGAUAAUUAACUACCUAUACAACCCCAUUAGACUCCACUUACUAGUCAGAAAGCACUAAGAUCUUUUGUCCAAAAUUUUCCCUACAGACCUGUUUGUAAUACCUACAAGACUAACAUUCACAUCUAAAAAUCAAAGUAAAGUAAGGUUUUUCUCCAUUAAAGAUCAUGUAGCUAAGGACCUGGUCACAGUAGCUAUGACCAUAGUAAGGAACUUAGAGAUCAUGAAGCUAAUUCCCUCAGCUAAUAGAAGAAACAUAGGCCUAAAGAGAUCAAGAAAAUUUCCCACAGGCUCUACAUUCCUUCUCCCUCCCGGAGGCUUAGUAUUCCCAUUCUCCUCCGAAUCAGUGCUAUUUUAUACUGUACCAGACAUCAUUAUGUUUUCCCUCCUGAUUCACUCUCCAUCCUGCUUUCUGCCUCAGGAAGUUGUCCUGAAUGGACUACAUCAAAGAAAAUCACAGCAUUUGAGGGAAGCCUUUCUAUGUAACUGUUCCCUCCUCUCAACCUUUUGGGUUUACAGGUGGCCACAACAGAGCUGUGGGUACUGGCAAUAUUCUUUGUGAUUUCUCUACACUCUGCCUACUUAUAAUUUUCACUUCAUUAAACUCUCUCCAAAUUAUCCUGAUUUGACUGUGCCAUAGUUUCCUCUUAGGAUCCUGACUGACAGAGACAUUUAUUACACAAUGUGCUAUGAGCUGUAGGGUUCAUUGGAAGUGUAAGAAAAGAUCUCUCUUCUCUAGGAAUUUAAAUCGGGGCACUUAAAUUGUACCAGUCAUGAAGUGGGUGUGCACAUGAGUGCUAAGUGGGGCUAUAGAGACAGCAGGUGCUGUAAGGAAUCCAGUGGACCUCAAGGACACAGGCAGCUUCACAAAGUACAAGGCUUUGAGCAGUGCAAGGGGACUAAUAUUUAUCUGGGUCCUACUGUGUGCCACACCCACUAUGGCUAUGCUUAAUAUAUAUUGUGAGAUGAGGUAUGUCUAAAAGCCAGCAGCACAGUGUUUGGCAAAGCUCAUGCUGUUUCUACUACACCAAAGUUUUCCAAACUUAAGUAUAAUUUACCUGCAGAAAAGUGCCCAAAACUAAUCAGUAAUUUUUAAAUUGAAGUGAAAUUCACAUAACAUGAAAUUAACCACUUUAAAGAGAACAGUCCAGUGUCAUUUAGUACAUUCAUAAUGUGUGCAACCACCACCUCUGUCUAGUUCCAAAGCAUUUUCUCUUCACCCCAAAAUAAAACCCUGUACCCAUUAAGCGGUCAUUCCCCAUUUUCUCUCCCUGCCAACCACCAUCUACUGUCUCUGUGGAUUUACCUAUUCUGUGUAUUUCCUACAGGUGGAGUCAUACAACGUGACCUUUUGUGUCUGGCUUCUUUUACUUAGCAUAAUGCUUUUGAGAUUCAUCCUCAAAACACCGUAGCACAAUUAGUACCUCAUCCCCUUUUAUGGCUGAAUAACAUUCAUUGUAUGGAUAUGCCACAACUUGUUCAUCCAUUCAUCUGCUGAUGAACAUUUGUGGUGUUUUUCAUCUUUCGGCCCUUGUGAAAGUGUUGACAUGAACAUUUGUAUACACGUAUUUGUCUGAACAUCUGUUUGGAUUCUUUUGGCUAUAUACCUAUGAGUAGAAUUGCUGCGUCAUAUGGUAAUUCUAUAAUUAACUUUUUGAGAAACUGUCAAACUGCUUAUCACGUGGAUGAAUCAUUUUACACUCCCAUGAGCAAUGUAGAUGGGUUCCAAUUUCUCUACAUCCUUGUAAUCAACCAACUUCUAAAAUUUACAAAAUAAAACUGUACUACACCA